RNAcentral lists this ribosomal RNA (675 nucleotides) under uncultured organism. RNAcentral's name for it is "SSU rRNA". It matches the Rfam family "Bacterial small subunit ribosomal RNA", at positions 36 to 690 of the family's 1533-position model. The record is from RNAcentral.
CUGGCGGCGUGCCUAAUACAUGCAAGUCCUUCGGACCAAAUCGGAGCUUGCUCUGAUUUGGUCAGCGGCGGACGGGUGAGUAACACGUGGGCAACCUGCCCGCAAGACCGGGAUAACUCCGGGAAACCGGAGCUAAUACCGGAUAACACCGAAGACCGCAUGGUCUUUGGUUGAAAGGCGGCCUUUGGCUGUCACUUGCGGAUGGGCCCGCGGCGCAUUAGCUAGUUGGUGAGGUAACGGCUCACCAAGGCGACAAUGCGUAGCCGGCCUGAGAGGGUGACCGGCCACACUGGGACUGAGACACGGCCCAGACUCCUACGGGAGGCAGCAGUAGGGAAUCUUCCGCAAUGGGCGAAAGCCUGACGGAGCGACGCCGCGUGAGCGAAGGAGGCCUUCGGGUCGUAAAGCUCUGUUGUGAGGGACGAAGGAGCGCCGUUUGAACAAGGCGGCGCGGUGACGGUACCUCACGAGGAAGCCCCGGCUAACUACGUGCCAGCAGCCGCGGUAAUACGUAGGGGGCGAGCGUUGUCCGGAAUUAUUGGGCGUAAAGCGCGCGCAGGCGGUCUCUUAAGUCUGAUGUGAAAGCCCACGGCUCAACCGUGGAGGGUCAUUGGAAACUGGGGGACUUGAGUGCAGGAGAGGAGAGCGGAAUUCCACGUGUAGCGGUGAAAUGCG